AAGCGUACUACACUGUCGAGAAAAGCUUCUAACGAGACAUCAUGUACCCGUACCAAAACCGACACAGGUAGGCGGGGAGAGAAUCCUAAGGUGCGCGGGAAAACCCUCGUUAAGGAACUCGGCAAAAUGCAUCCGUAACUUCGGGAGAAGGAUGGCCGGAGCUGGUGAAGUGAUUGACUCUUGGAGCUGGAGCCGGCGGCAGAAGAGAAGCCCAAGCGACUGUUUACCACAAACACAGGUGCCUGCUAAAGAGAAAUCUGACGUAUAGGUGCUGACACCUGCCCGGUGCUGGAAGGUUAAGGAGAGAUGUCAGGAGCAAUCCGAAGCAUUGAACUGAAGCCCCAGUAAACGGCGGCCGUAACAAUAACGGUCCUAAGGUAGCGAAAUUCCUUGUCGGGUAAGUUCCGACCCGCACGAAAGGUGUAACGACUUGGGCACUGUCUCAACGAGGGACCCGGUGAAAUUGAAAUACCUGUGAAGAUGCAGGUUACCCGCGACUGGACAGAAAGACCCCAUGGAGCUUUACUGCAGCCUGACAUUGAUUUUUGGCAUGUAACGUACAGGAUAGUUGGGAGACGGAGAAGAUAGCCCCCCAGGGUUAUCAGAGUCGCUGUUGGGAUACCAACCUUUAUGUGCUAGGGAUCUAACUCGAGAAGUAACGAAGCUGAGGACAGUAUCAGGUGGGCAGUUUGACUGGGGCGGUCGCCUCCGAAAGAGUAACGGAGGCGUCCAAAGGUUCCCUCAGCGCGGACAGAAAUCGCGCGAAGAGUAUAAAGGCAGAAGGGAGCUUGACUGCGAGACAUACAGGUCGGGCAGGUACGAAAGUAGGGCUUAGUGAUCCGGUGGAAUGAGAGUGGAAUUGCCAUCGCUCAACGGAUAAAAGCUACCCUGGGGAUAACAGGCUAAUCUCUCCCAAGAGUCCAUAUCGACGGGGAGGUUUGGCACCUCGAUGUCGGCUCAUCACAUCCUGGGGCUGAAGCAGGUCCCAAGGGUUGGGCUGUUCGCCCAUUAAAGUGGUACGUGAGCUGGGUUCAGAACGUCGUGAGACAGUUCGGUCCAUAUCCAUCGCGGGCGUAAGAUACAUGAGGGAGACUGCUCCUAGUACGAGAGGACCGGAGUGGACGGACCGCCGGUGUACCAGUUGUUUCGCCAGAAGCACAGCUGGGUAGCUGCGUCCGGAAGGGAUAAACGCUGAAAGCAUCUAAGCGUGAAGCCCGUCCCGAGAUGAAGUAUCUCAUGUCGUAAGACAGUAAGACACCUUGAAGAAGACAAGGUUGAUAGGAUAGAUGUGGAAGUCCUGCAAGGGAUGAAGCUGACUACUACUAAUAUGUCGAGGGCUUAACAUG
This 1346-nucleotide ribosomal RNA is filed under the name metagenome. Its description in RNAcentral is "bacterial LSU rRNA". It matches the Rfam family "Bacterial large subunit ribosomal RNA", at positions 1593 to 2925 of the family's 2925-position model. The record is from RNAcentral.